This 253-nucleotide ribosomal RNA is filed under the name uncultured bacterium. RNAcentral's name for it is "partial 16S ribosomal RNA". It matches the Rfam family "Bacterial small subunit ribosomal RNA", at positions 524 to 776 of the family's 1533-position model. The record is from RNAcentral.
UACGUAGGGUGCGAGCGUUAAUCGGAAUUACUGGGCGUAAAGCGCACGUAGGCGGCUUUGUAAGUUAGAGGUGAAAGCCCGGGGCUCAACUCCGGAAUUGCCUUUAAGACUGCAUCGCUAGAACGUCGGAGAGGUAAGUGGAAUUCCGAGUGUAGAGGUGAAAUUCGUAGAUAUUCGGAAGAACACCAGUGGCGAAGGCGACUUACUGGACGACUGUUGACGCUGAGGUGCGAAAGCGUGGGGAGCAAACAGG